This is an RNA transcript of Drosophila nasuta, 1531 nucleotides long. It is a transcript of the gene named GILT-like protein 3, with no coding region annotated. The transcript is spliced from 5 exons. NCBI's taxonomy places the organism in Eukaryota, Metazoa, Arthropoda, Insecta, Diptera, Drosophilidae. The record is from RefSeq and is a predicted model, not a curated record.
AGACAGACAGUCAGCCAAGACGUAAACGUUAACGUUAGAGCAAAUAUCUAAAACGUAAAUGUGUCACGUAAAUGGAGCGUAAAUUUCAAUAAAAAUCAUUUCAAUUUCACCAAAGCCAAAAGGACUCGUAACUGCUUCAAACGCACACACACACCGCACCGCAUUGCCUAGGAAGAAUUUGGGAUUGGAAUGAUUUGGGAGAAAGAGGUGAAUGGUUGUCUACUCGGUUGUCUGGCUUUGGCUUUGCUACCCCACAAUUACAACAAUUACAACAACCGUUGCUACGCGUGCCUGGCAAAUCUAAGCGAGACUGUAACCAAAGCAGAACGAAGCCAAAGCCAAAGCGAAAGUCAGGAAGCUUCCGUUCAUCUGGCAUUAACAAUCCUCGGAACACAAAUCACAAAUCACGAAUCGCACUUAACUACUCGACACACUCUUUAACUAUCAUUCACUCACCCCACUUGUCGAUGCAGCAUCUCGCCCAGCGUCGGAUUGUUCACGGACACAUCUGGAGCAUUGUCCACAAUGACGUGCAGAUACUCAUCGCUGAGCAGCAGCUUCUGCAGAUCGAUGUAGCGAUCGUGUGGCGUUGGCUUCCGUGUGGAGAGCGUUGAGCCAGCGACGACGGCUUCUUGGCCGCUGGUUGUGCCACCGCCGCCGCCAUUUUGACUGCCCGAUGCUUGGGCCUGAGUGGACGCCUCCUUGGAGCCAGAAGAGUUGCUGCAACGAAAGAAAAUAAGAUGAAGGCCAUAAUUAGUUUGACGUUGAGGCGCACUUGACAAUGGACCAGCCACUUACACUUAAUUGCAACUCACAAGUGGCAGUUUAUGAUGCACUGUGCAGCAAAUGGAAAACGGCCAAGAGACCGAACGAAGGCUGAACACUGAACACUGAAUGUUGUAAACUGAAAGAUGAGAGACGAGAGCCGAGAGCCGAGUGGCUCAAGUUGAGCAUUUAAGGACAUGCUCCACAAGCUUGACAACUGGAACAACAACUUUGGCCUCUGAACAUUGGACCAGAAGGGAGUCAAGUAACAGGCCAACUAAAGCCCCCGUUAUCCCAAAGUUACCCCUCGCCAUACACUAUGAAGCACUCUGUCCGCAGAGCAUGUACUUCAUUCAACACCGACUGCACGAUGCUCUGCAAGAAAACAAUUGGUGGCCACGCGUUGAUCUCAAACUGUAUUCCUUUGGUACAGCAAAAUUCUUCAAUAAUACAGAUCUGAAUCUCAUGGAAGUGCAUUGUCAACACGGCAAAAAGCAGUCGCUGCAGUCAAGAAGUGUAAAGACAGCAGAACAACAGCGGAGAUCCUCACGCCCUACGGCAAAGAAGCACUCGCUCUUUAGUUGUCCGUUGUUCCCAGUAUUGUGUUUGAUAAUGACGCUUUGAGCUCCACCAGCAGAGAAAAAUUCCCUACAACUUCAGGGCUUUUUUUUUGCAGCGAGUAUGAACUUGCGAUCGAUUAAAAUGUGCCUGUCAAUGCCAAGCACUUCUAAACUGUAACAAUACGAACUUGAACUAAUAAUAAGUG